Molecule: long non-coding RNA, 5614 nt
Organism: Mytilus californianus (California mussel)
Lineage: Eukaryota; Metazoa; Mollusca; Bivalvia; Mytilida; Mytilidae
Exons: 7
Source: RefSeq, a predicted model, not a curated record
UAUGCCGUCAAUUUUCUCGUUUGGAGUGUUUCACAUUGCUUAUGUCCAGGUCUAUAAUAACUGACUUUACAGUUUGUGUUUUUUUCAUUGUUAAAGGCUGACAUUGGCCUAUCAUUACUUUUAUCUUCGUUUUUUUUUUUUAUCUCUAUCGGAUAGUUGUAGCAUUUGCAAUCAAUCAUAUCACAUUUUAAUUUAAUGCAUGUGGAAUAUUUAAUGAAUAUACUUAUCUUUUUCCCUUAUCUCACAUACGACUACAUACCCUAUGGUUUACAUUUUUUGUUGAAUCAUGUUUUAUAAUUUUUUUUUGUAUCAUGUUUUUGAAGCGUGUCGACCAUGUCAUAAUAUAGUUUCACUGCAGUCAUACUGGUAACAGGGAUAUAUAGUUUUUAUCGGUUGUGAAUAUAAUUUAUUAAGUUACUAGCUUAUUUAAACUAUAACAUCAUGAUGAAAUACAGUGUUUGUGUUUUUAUUAAGUUGCUCAUUUUCGUUUGCUUCAUCAGUAGAGGGCUUCAAAACAAGAUAAUCUAUUCAAUUUAUGGUUCAAUUAAAGAAAUAAACUUGCUCAAUGGAGAAGUAUCAACUUUAGUAUCCAAUCUGCAGAGUAAUAUAUAUUCCUUAGACUAUGAUUAUAAAACUGGAUAUAUUUUUUUCCCGAGGCAUAAUAAAGACGAUAUUUUGAGGUUUCGUUAUCCAUCUGAUACAGCUUAUAGCACUAAAUUGGUAAUAAGUGCAAGGGAACCAAUAGCUCUGGUUAUUGACCCGCUAUUGAAUCAUGUGUAUUGGACAGAAAUAUACCAACAAAAGAUCUAUAGAUGUAAUUUUGAUGGGACAAAUAAGAACUUCAUUCUGCAAGAUGAUCAACUAUAUGCUAUUACAUUAGAUUACGUAAACAGAUGGCUGUAUUAUAGUACAAAGACAAAUAAAAUAAAAAGAUCAAGAUUAAAUGUUGCUGACAAAACGACCAUUAAAGAAUUGGUAGAUGUAACUGGUUUGGGUAUAGAUGCUAACAAAAAACGACUGUAUUGGAUGGAAUAUCAAAAAGGUGAUUUGGAAUCUUCCGAUCUAAAUGGAACAAAUGCUAUCAAAGUUGUCAGCACGAAUAAAACGAGAACAAACAUAGGCAUCUAUGUUUAUGGUAGCAAAAUAUAUUGCUCAAAUGGUAAUCAAAUAUUAAAGGUCAAAGUAUCACCAGUUACAAUGGCAGAGGUCGUACACACAGAUACAGAGAAAAUUCAUGGUGUACUUUAUUAUGAUGGUAAGGAUAUACUUAUUGGAAGAAAAGGGUAAAGAUAAAUUAUCUGACAUAUUCGUAUACUGUUUAUAUUUUUUCAGUCAAUUAAGAUAAAAUCACAUGAACGGUACCAAUUGUUCUGCACAAGAUGCGCAUUUCCACAAUUCAUGAGCUGUGUCAGAUAGAAAUCGACCUUAUGCAAAUGAUUAUCAAUAUAUAUAUAUUAACCUUUUUCGGGUUGAAAAAAAUCUAUAUGCAAAAUUUGUAACUGUUUGAAAAUUUAGUCGAUAUAAAAAACCUACAAAAUAGACCAAAUCAUCUUUUAUUUCGUAUUUGAAUGUUUCAAAAUCAAUCAAAGUAUGAUACAUGUACAUGUAUAAGUGUAUUUGUCAAUUUCUAUCCGAUGCAGCUCACAUGUCACAUGAUAGUAUGGCCGAAAUAUUUGAAAAAAUCAAAACCUAAUGAAAAAAAAAAUGAAGAGCCUAUACAUUAUAAACCAAAAAGAACAAAAGGUAAAGGCACAGCCGGGCAAGGAAUCAGAGCUUAUAAUGAGAGGAUUAUCAGUCCAAUAAACAUGUGGAUAUUUCUUAACGAAUCAAUUCAUAAUUGAUUUGCAAUGUUUUUUAAUUGGAUUAUUUAAAAUGCAAUAUGUGUAAAUAAUGACUUGUUAAGAAGAAUGAAUAAGUUUGUACAAAUGUAUGUUAGUCUGUAAAUGAGAAAAUUACAUGCAUACAAACAAUGUAUAUUGCACAAUACGGAUGAAUUGUACACGUAAUUUGACAAAUAAAAAUGUUUGCAAUAAAUGUUUAAAUUAUUGACCUAAAUAUGUUAUGCAUAAUUUUAUCAUAUAUGUAAUCUAUAUAUUUUCAUCUGCAACUUUUAUUUGUCAUUAGUUGACGAUGUUUAACCUUUUUGUUUGGGUCUUUGUCUAAAGAUUGUGAAAUAGUUAUGUACUGCUUGUACGUGUAUGCAGCCAUAUAAUCAAUGUUAUCUCGUAGCUGUUAAUUCGCUUUAAAUUAACGAAACGUACAUGUUAACUAACUCUAUUAUCUAGCUUAAUAAAUGCAAUACUGUUGGUUCAUUUUAUUUCGUGGUAACCAAUUUUCGUGGAUUGAGGAAAACUUGCAUUUUCGUGUAUAUCUAAUGUCAUUGUUAAUGCUAAGUCUGCAAACAUUCCUUUAGAAAAAAUUGUAAUUCGUUGAACAUUUUAAUUCGUGGUUCCCAUGUGAAAACGAAAUCCACGAAAAUUGGUUUCCAACGAAUAUUAAUGAAUUCACAAUAACAGAUGUUUAUGAUAUGAGAGAGCAGUCUUUUAUUGACGUAACCAUUUGGAUAUCAGCUAUGAGUAAUCAAUAAUAAAAAAAACCUAGACAAAACAAUAGUACAAACGAAUAAACGUAUCCUACUUUGUAGGCUUACAGAGGGAUGCAUAUAGUUCGUUCUACCUCAUAAUCACGAGUUUUUAAUUGUAUUUACUAAUAAUGUUUCAAUCGAUAAAUAUUCAAGGUUUAUGUUAAUACAAGUUUGUAAUACAUUUAGAAAAGAGGGGCGAAAGAUACCAGAGGGACAUUAAAACUCAAAAAUCGAAAAUAAACUGACAACGCCAUGGCUAAAAAAGAAAAAUAACAAACACACAAAUAAUAGUACACAAAACACAACACAGAAAACUAAAGACUAAGCAACACGAACUCAACCAAAUACUAGGGGUGAUCUUAGGUGAUCCGGAAGGGUAAGCAGAUUCUGCUCCACAAAUGGCACCCGUCGUGUUGCUCAUGUUAGUACAAACCCGAUAGCUAGUUUAAUUCGAUAGGUCAUAGAAAUAUCGUGUUUGCCCCUCUUUCCAUACAGAUUUGAACUACAUACAUUCACACAACCUUAUUUCAUUCAUUAAAACGACAUAAGUGACAUGUCACAUUGUAUAUUAUGAUUAAGAUGUUUUCUAAAUACUUUAUGACAUGUUUACAUCAUGUCUAUAUUAUACGAUGUGUUAUUGGUUUUUAAUGUUUAGUUUGACUAAUUUGAUAAUGUCAUAUUUGAAAUAAAACUUGAACUCACUUUUGCUUUUUUCGAAUAAUAUUUUCAUGAAAACAAAGUAUCCCUUCUAUGAACAAAUGAUUUUCAAAUCAAUGACCAUUAUCUCAUGAAUUAAUUGAUAUUUGAUUAAACAUGUCUCUAAAUUUGCACAUAUUAGCAUGUUGAGUUUGAUUAUACAUAUGUUUUAUAUAUCUAAUUUCAACCUAACGAAUUGAUUUAUGUUAUCCUUUUUCAUUUAAAGAAAUGUUUAAAACGUCUAUAUAUGAGGUAUUUACAAACAUAACCUUAAUUGAUCCCACUGGCAUCCAAAGGUGAGUAAGAUUUUAUGUUUUUUUUUAAUUCAAAACUUAUUAUAGAAACGUGUAAAAAAUGUUUAUAGUUACAUCAGCACAGGCAAAUGAUUAUAAUUUUCAAUUGAUUUUGAAUAAAGAAAUAUUUAAUAUGUCACAAUACACAUAUUUGAACUGAAAACACUAUUAUCCUCAGAUUGUUUUUCGCGCAUAUGCGUUGAUAUUGGCAAGUUUGGAUCAACUGCAUAACAGUUUGUUAUCCGUAGACUAGACUCUACAAAGUAAAUCACAUUACACAAACACUCGUCUACAAAAAACAAAAUACAUAAUAGAAGUAACAAAAAAAAAAAAAAAAAAAACGGAGGAUAUAGGGUAUUUAACGAUGACAAAAAAUCAGUACAUAUAAGUUUUUGUGAUAUUAAAUGGAUAUACAAAAGUGUUUACAUGAACCUAUUGUUUUACCUGUUUUUUGAACAAAGACAUUUAUUUUUCUGUAGAAGAUUUUGCUUAACACAUCUGACUUACAGUUGAGAAAGAUUAUGCAGUAUCUUAAUUAACCAUUGUUGUUCCUGCUUUAUAUAUCCUUCAUUAUAUGUCGGCAGUGACAAUAAUUGGUCGUUAUUACUCUUCCUGAACUUAAAAAUGAAAAAUGAUACGAUAGAAGGACGUUGGAGUUUGUAAUGGAACACACUGCAUGUCGGAUAGACCGCGACGGAGCCCAACUAUUGAGUGAUAUCGUAAAGUAAUUCUAACUUUCAUCAAAAGAAUGAUUACGACGACUUUCAUUAAUUUUACUGAAACAUUUAAAGGAAUAAAAAAAGAUAAUGAGCAUGCAAGAAUUAGGACCACAGAACAUCUCCAAUACACACUAGUGACUCACAGUCGGACAAUCGAGUGAAUGUUACAAGGAAUAUGAUGUUAAUUAUAAAUAUAUAAAACAUGGGACAUUCGAAUCGGUAAAUUGUGAUUACAUAUUAAAUCAUUAUCCAUACUGCCGACGUAUUCGGGACAAUAGUAUCAAUAGACCAAAGCGAAAUAUAUGUCAACUUGUGUUGAAAAUAGUUCUAAAAUAAACUCGAACUGAUUUAACUGGCAAAUAUGAAUGAUAAUCAAAAGCAAAAAAAUGUCUACCGUAUUCAAAUAAAAAAGGCGAUUUGGUAGUUGAAGCAAAGAUGUGAACUAAAGUACAUAUACAUACUCCAAUCAAGAUGCAUAAAUGACAGACGUAUAAAUGAGUGGUUUAGUUAGAUUCUUAAGAGCUUUCAUUGAGGGGUUUAUAAAAUGUUGGUGUUUGAGUGAAUGUAUUCUGAGAUGCAUUAUACACAUAACAGUAUUUACUUGGGUAAAAGCGGGAAGUUUAAAUCGGGAAUAGCUAAUGCCCAUGCUCCUUACAGUGGAUAAUACGUCAGAAUGUGCAUGCAUUUAACAAAAUGUGUAUGAUGCCGUGAUGCAAUUAUAUUACACCAUCAAAAAUAUAUUGCAGCUUAUAUAAUAUAUUUUGUUGCAUCAUUUAUUGACAGGGAAUUCAUAAACGCAAUACUUUGAAUUCGGUAAAUAAGUUCGCAAAACAGUCAAUGCAUACUGUUUUUUUUUUGGCUUACAUGUUCGAUUUUUAUAAAUUAUUAAAGUUCACAAAGAGUCAUGUGUUAAAACAAUCACAAAACGCUAAAAGCUAUUACGUAAACAUAUAAGCAUUUAAUGCAACAUAUAUUGAUUGUCUUUUAGGUAUAAUAAAUAAACAAAUAUCAAUCAUGAAUUGAACGGUGCAUUAUUAUAGAUACACGGUACCCUGAAUAACAUCGUCAUUCAUAGUAAGUGAGGAAACUUCCUUUAAAUUUCGAGGAAGAGGUUGUCAAACUAUCUACAACCGAAUAUACAUUUCUGUUGUUGGAGCAAGAUAGUACAGAUUCUAAGAAGAUAAUGAUUUAUUAGCGACUGUUAGUUUCGAUGCUUGAUGAAUUUUUUUGUUUCAAAAAGCGAGUACGAAUUUUCAAUUCUAAAUACUGUCAAAUCAAAAUCUUACGAAAUCUAUCACAAAAUAAAAUCAAUUCUUCAUGUU